RNAcentral lists this transfer RNA (89 nucleotides) under Curvularia clavata. It matches the Rfam family "tRNA". Rfam says of the family: Transfer RNA (tRNA) molecules are approximately 80 nucleotides in length. Lineage: Eukaryota; Fungi; Ascomycota; Dothideomycetes; Pleosporales; Pleosporaceae. The record is from Rfam by way of RNAcentral.
GGGCGCUUGGUCUAGGGGUAUGAUUUUCGCUUCGCAUAUCUAAAGUGUGUAUUUGUGAAAGGUCGUGGGUUCAAUUCCCACAGCGUCCA